GGCGCAGCCGUCGGCGCGCAGCGAUGACGUAGCACACCAACCAAUGCAAGCUAGCGGUGAGGACUAAAGGACAGCAACUGUUUGUGGGCGGAGCGUAAUAGCGCUUUUUUUUUUCUUCCCCCCCCUGAUUGGACGCUGGUCUAUGCUUUCCCGGAUCUGUGUGUUUGGAGCUACUCGGGUUCCCUCCACUGUUAGCUCUGCUGUCCUCAGGGUCUAAGGCUAUGCACCCUGCUGAGGCCGCGCUGUUGUAAAGGGACAGGCUGGUACAGACGGCAUGCACUCACUACCUUGCCUGGGCAUAAGCUUUUCAUGGCCACUGUGCCUCAAGAUCUUCAGGUCAAGAUCCAGGUCAGAAGCCUGUGUCUUCCAGCCUCAAGAUCUGGCUCACAGGGUGACUCCUGAACUCCCACAGCUGGGUCCUGGACUCAUUUUCUAAGAAGACACAGGUGAGCUGAGCACAAGCAGUUGUUGCUUUCCACUCUUACGUCACUGAAGAUACAACAUGAGCAACUCCUUCAAGCUGCUGUGACUUUGGUUUGCUAGAGCAUAACCUGAGCUGAAAUGAAUGGUUCGUUGUCAUGGGAGCUUUACCCAGAAAUAAGAAAGCUCACUGAGACAGAGAGUGACCAAACCCCAGAAGUCCCCAUUGCCUGUGUCACUCAGACCGUGACCAUGUCCCUCAGCCUUUCUCUGGAUAGCCAAGAGAUACCAUUGACUCUACAGUGGUUCCUGACUGUCCUGUGGCCAUGACUUCUGAAAAGCAGUUCUUCUGAAACUAGCCAAUUCUAGAAAGAUGUAAAAUGCAGAAAUUUUGACUCAAGAAGCAAUAGCACAUAAAUAAAAGGGGACUCAUGUUGAAG
This is a long non-coding RNA of Apodemus sylvaticus (European woodmouse), 860 nucleotides long. RefSeq lists it as uncharacterized. NCBI's taxonomy places the organism in Eukaryota, Metazoa, Chordata, Mammalia, Rodentia, Muridae. The record is from RefSeq and is a predicted model, not a curated record. The transcript has 3 exons.